Molecule: ribosomal RNA, 465 nt
Filed under: uncultured bacterium
Lineage: Bacteria
Description: partial 16S ribosomal RNA
Rfam family: Bacterial small subunit ribosomal RNA
Source: RNAcentral
CCUACGGGAGGCAGCAGUGGGGAAUAUUGCGCAAUGGGCGAAAGCCUGACGCAGUGACGCCGCGUGAGGGAUGAAGGUCUUCGGAUCGUAAACCUCUGUCAGCAGGGAAGAACGGUCACUGUGCUAAUCAGCAGUGAAUUGACGGUACCUGCAAAGGAAGCACCGGCUAACUCCGUGCCAGCAGCCGCGGUAAUACGGAGGGUGCGAGCGUUAAUCGGAAUUACUGGGCGUAAAGCGCUCGUAGGCGGUAUGUCAAGUCAAGGGGGAAAUCCCCGCGCUCAACGUGGGAACUGCCUUUGAAACUGGCAAACUGGAGUGUGUGAGAGGAUAGUGGAAUUCCAGGUGUAGGAGUGAAAUCCGUAGAUAUCUGGAGGAACAUCAGUGGCGAAGGCGACUAUCUGGCACAUAACUGACGCUGAGGAGCGAAAGCGUGGGUAGCAAACAGGAUUAGAUACCCCAGUAGUC